UGGGCAGAGAUGCCGAGAGGAAAGUCCGGGCAGCACGAGCCACCAUGCUUCCUAACGGGAAGGGGCUGCGCCUGUAAAGGCGGGGCUACAGAGAGCGCCACAGAAAAGAUACCGCCUGAGAGGGUAAGGGUGAAAACGCGGGGUAAGAGCCCACGGCGUGUGCCGGUGACGGCCAUGAACGGCAAGCCUCAUGGGCUGAAAGACCAAAUAUACCGACAAGCCUUAGGGCAACGGGCAGGCUCGCCUGUAUUGUCGGGGGGUAGGUUGAUAGAGGCCGUCGGCGACGGCGGCAGUAGAUUGAUGAUAGAACACGACAGAACCCGGCUUAUAGGUCCU
Molecule: RNase P RNA, 336 nt
Filed under: bovine gut metagenome
Description: Bacterial RNase P class A
Rfam family: Bacterial RNase P class A
About the family: Ribonuclease P (RNase P) is a ubiquitous endoribonuclease, found in archaea, bacteria and eukarya as well as chloroplasts and mitochondria. Its best characterised activity is the generation of mature 5'-ends of tRNAs by cleaving the 5'-leader elements of precursor-tRNAs. Cellular RNase Ps are ribonucleoproteins.
Source: RNAcentral